Long non-coding RNA from Clupea harengus (Atlantic herring), 711 nucleotides. NCBI's taxonomy places the organism in Eukaryota, Metazoa, Chordata, Actinopteri, Clupeiformes, Clupeidae. The record is from Ensembl.
CCUAUCUGGACGGUGGUCAUCCCAGGGAGAUGCAUCGUGUGUCUGGGGAGAGCUCAUGCGGAGGAGGCUCUACUGGACCGGAGCGCCCUCUCAGGGUGAGGACAUGCCUGGGAGAGUGUCCUGACCGUAGGGUGCGGUAGUUGGGAGAGUGUCCUGACCGUAGGGUGCGGUAGUUGGGAGAGUGUCCUGACCGUAGGGAGUGGUAGCUGGAAGAGUGUCCUGACCGUAGGGAGUGGUAGCUGGGAGAGUGUCCUGACCGUAGGGAGCGGUAGCUGGUAGCUGGGAGAGUGUCCUGACCGUAGGGAGCGGUAGCUGGUAGCUGGGAGAGUGUCCUGACCGUAGGAAGCGGUAGCUGGUAGCUGGGAGAGUGUCCUGACCAUAGGGAGCGGUAGCUGGUAGCUGGGAGAGUGUCCUGACCGUAGGGAGCGGUAGCUGGGAGAGUGUCCUGACCGUAGGAAGCGGUAGCUGGUAGCUGGGAGAGUGUCCUGACCGUAGGGAGCGGUAGCUGGUAGCUGGGAGAGUGUCCUGACCGUAGGGAGCGGUAGCUGGUAGCUGGGAGAGUGUCCUGACCGUAGGGAGUGGUAGCUGGUAACUGGGAGAGUGUCCUGACCGUAGGGAGCAGUAGCUGGUAGUUGUACUUGUGUAAAAGUAAAGUAAUGACUAGCCAUUUAACUGACUUGAAUGACAAAGAAUGUUGUAUUGUGUAAUUUC